Dreissena polymorpha is the source of this 3786-nucleotide long non-coding RNA. RefSeq lists it as uncharacterized. The transcript is spliced from 11 exons. The record is from RefSeq and is a predicted model, not a curated record. NCBI's taxonomy places the organism in Eukaryota, Metazoa, Mollusca, Bivalvia, Myida, Dreissenidae.
ACAAGUUUGACCUGAAAACAGUUACAUUGCACUAGAAAAUGGCCGCAAAAUUUAAGGCGCAAAAGAAGUAGAGUUUGAUUUGAGUAAAGUAAAUGUUUGGUUUAACAUGACAUAUCUUUUUUAUUGCUUAAAUCGAUUCAGCUUAGAAUGAACUUUCAGAAAAAGUAUCGUUAUGGUGGUCUCUAUGUUCAAAAUGUUGCAUUUAUUUUCUCUUUAAGUUGUCGCGUUUACAUUGAAUUAUAUAGGGAAAUCAUUAAGUAUAUUGUGGCCUUUAAUAAAUUUAGCUUACACUAACAAGGGAGAGAACUGUCAAUAUGUACCAGCAGUGAGUUGUUGCCAUUAAAUUGUUUCAUAUUUAUUAAUUUGUAAUAUGUCUUACAACUUUUAUGACAUGAUGGUUUACUUUGGAAUUGUUGUCUAGUGUGAAUUUAAACAGAGUUUAACACCAAAGACCUGUAAAGGCAUGGUAAAAAUGGUGUGUGUGUUUUUGUUACUUUGGGAAUACAUAAAUAUGAAGUUGUUGCCUCCCAUUUAUUAUUAUCCCCCGCCAUAGGUGGAGGGAUAUUGUUUUGGCGUUGUCCGUCCGUCCGUCUUUUCGUCCAUCCAUUCGUACGGAGCCAAAUCUUGGAAGUUCUUUAGCGGAUUGCAUCAAGAUGAUUUUCCUUUUGUUUUUGUUGUUAUGCAGGAAAAACUGGCUAAAAACAUCAAUGAGCCACGCUGUGAAAAAAUAGAGCUUAAUGCAUGUGCUUAGAUUGUAGUCCCAGAUUAGCCUGUGCAGUCCACACAGGCUACUUAGGGACAACAAUUACCUCUUUAAAGGAGAGCACCAGCAUUGAUAUCGAGUUGGCCAAGCAACAGCACAAGUCCGGCCUGCAGGAGCCCCAAUACAGAACCAUCCUUUCCCUCCCCUGAUCCCUAGCUCCUCCCACUGGACCUCUGGCCACAAAGGCAAACACUAUAAGCCGCCAAGAUAAAAACAUUGUUGAAGUGAAAGUCGAUGUUAAUCCUGACCCCUUCGCUUAAGUAAUUCAGCACAAAAACGUCUUGCGUCAGAGUAGCAAGCCUCCAAACAUCUUCUCCCAUGUUGGCUUCAUCAACACUUCUUACAGCGGAGCCUUGGCGAGUUCGACUUCCAUCCCAGCAUCGAUGUUGCUUAGCAACAAUUCAAUGCUGGGAAUUGACAAAUUGUUCUAGACGAGUCGCUUACACAGAAACAAUCUGAUCCAACAGAUAGAGCAGGUGUUGCGUGACUUGUCCCUUAUUGCGACUGACCUCGAUAAGUUGCUCUCGAAUAAUGUUAACCUUAUGUUAGUAUGGGAUUUACGCCAUUUAACAACAGUUGUUGUUGAGAAUUCCCGGGUUUGAGGUGGCAACUUUGGCGACGGGACUCGCUCCAUCUCUGUCUAUGGCCCAGUCAAAGCAGCAGCAGCAGCAGCAAUAAGAACAACAAGUAGUAUCUGAGCGGUGCUCUGGAGUACGGGGCUUCAUAGCCUGUUCCUCCUGGUCCAGGACCUUUGGACAAAUGUUCAAAUAGUACUACCCACAGGAUGAAGCCACUCUGAAUCCGGGGCUCCAUACUUUCUUGGCCAGGGGCCAAGACUACCUCAUCAAUAAGCAGAGCACCAGCAUUGAUAUCGAGUUGGCCCAGCAACCGCACCAGUCCCGCCUGCAGGAGCCCCAGUCCAGAACGACCCUUCCCCUCCCUUGACUUCUAGCUCCUCUACCUUGACCGCCUGCCUCAAAAAGUCAGCAUCGUUGAACAACUCCGUUCUGCAGCAAAUUCUGAGCAUGAUUCUGUUCUGAACAAACGCAAUGCCCACGUCACGUUUUCCAAACAUAAGCCUGGGUAGUUUUGUUAAGCUAGAGUUCUGCGUGGGCCUGAAAGGGACGAGUGUUACAGACACAAACAGUUAUAGCAGUAGUUAUGGUAACGCUAACAGUCAGUUGUUGCUGUUGGACAUCACAACAAAUAUCAUGAAGAAUAAAAAUUUCGAUUAGUUGUUCCAAUCUUUAUGGGACAAACAGAAAUUGAACGGAAGAAAAUCAAGGAACAAUAAAAGCGUAAGCUUUCCUAGUGGGAUACAUCUGCUGUUGAUAGUUUGGACAACAGUAGGGUUGCGGACUGCCCCAGAUUGUCCUCUCAGCGGCCAAAAUAUCAUAAUAGAACGGACUUUUGGCAAUGUUACUGACACAGAAAGGCAAUAAUGACUUGGUUAUCAAUACCCAGAGCACGAUACAUCCAUGCUGACAAAGAAAGGCAGUAAUGACUUGGUUGUGAACACCCAGAGCACAAUACAUCCAUGCUGACACAGAAAGGCAGUAAUGACUUGGUUGUGAACACCCAGAGCACAAUACAUCCAUGCUGACACAGAAAGGCAUAAUGACUUUGUUGUAAACACUAAGAGAUCCAUACAUCCAUGGGGUGUGCAACAGACGCAAAUUACGCCCACUAUUUUGAACAAGUGAACUUAACUAGCAAACAUGACAAACGUCAUUGAAGUGAAAGUCGAUGACAACCCCCUUCUUGAACAAAUACUACAAUUGCUUAAGAAAUUCAGCACGAAGACGUCUUGCGUCAGACUACCAAGCCUCCUAUCAAUAUCUUCUCCCAUGUUGGCUACAUCAACACUUCCAACAGCAGAGCCUUGGUGAGUUCGACUUCCGUCUCGGCAUUGAUGUCCCUUAGCAACAAUUGGAUGAUGGGCGUCGACAAAUUAUGCCGGACAAGUCGCUCAAACUGAAAUGAUCUGAUCCAACAGGUAGAGCAGGCAUUGCGUGACACGUCCGUUAAUGUGACUGACCUCGAUAUGUUGUUCUCGAAUAAUGUGAACCUUAGGCCUGGAGAGCAGUAUGCGAUUGACGCCAUUCAACAACAGUUGUUCUUGGCAAUUCUCAGGUUUGGGGUGGCGACUUCAGCGUCAGGACUCGCUCCAUCUCUGUCUAUGGCCCAGUCGCAGCAGCAGCAACAAGAACAAUAAAGCCUGUUCCUACAGGAACCCAUGCAAUCAUAGAUCGGUACCUAGCUGAACAACAGGCUGUCUGGUCAGUGACACUUCCUGGCCCAGGACCUUGGGGCCAAUGCUCAACUAGUCCUACCCGCAGGGUGGAGCCACACUGAACCUGGGGCUCCAUACUUUCUUGGCCAGUGGCCAAGAUAUCCUCGUCAAUUAGGGACACAUUCCUGGGAUGCCCUAAGGUCUUUCUAUCUGUUCACAGAGGUCUUAUACUCACAAGUUCAAGCCCAGUAGCGAUGUCCACAUUAUCAAACUCUGCAUCUCAAUAGAAACCCGGAUAGCAAGGCGUUGAGUUUGUUCUUGAAGCAUUUGCACCAGAAGCAGUCAUCAUCUUGAUAUUCUGGAAUCUCCAUGGUGAAGGACCCUCAGUCUGUGAACAAAAUGCAGAGCGAACCUCAGAUGCCUUUUGACGAAAUCAAAUCAUCCAGUCAGAAACACAGACUGUUGCAGCAGUUGUUACCAUAUUGACCCCAGUCAAACCUAAGAAGCUCAGAGAUAAAUACUGAUUUAGUUCUGCUAGUCUCUACAUACAGCCUGGUUUGGUCAGCACUUACUCUGACUCUUUGAAUAUUAUGACGGAUGGAAAUGAAUGACCUUGUUCAGAUCGAAAUGGCAGAAUGACACAUCACAAGAAUUCAAGCGGAAAGCCAGAAAGUCAUGUCAACAGCCACAUUUUGUAUGUCACCAGCCAAGUUGUAUUCAAAGACAAACAAUAUUUAUGCUCUAUUGUGUAUGUGACCAGCCAAGUUGUAUUCAAAGAAAAACAAUAGUU